Molecule: transfer RNA, 64 nt
Filed under: Falcolipeurus quadripustulatus
Lineage: Eukaryota; Metazoa; Arthropoda; Insecta; Psocodea; Philopteridae
Description: tRNA-Trp
Source: RNAcentral
AAAGUAGUAAGUUUAAGUAUAAACUAUUUCAGUUCAAAUGAAAAAAUGAUUAUGUCCUACUUUU